Molecule: long non-coding RNA, 226 nt
Filed under: Lathyrus oleraceus (garden pea)
Lineage: Eukaryota; Viridiplantae; Streptophyta; Magnoliopsida; Fabales; Fabaceae
Description: Pisum sativum (pea) long non-coding RNA (PSAT_LNC001799)
Source: RNAcentral
AUCCCAUCCAACAAGCCUGGAGGUAAUUCUUAACAAAAGAUCCAAGAGAUGGCUUACACGCAAAUGAAUCCCAUCCAACAAGCCUGGAGGUGAUUCUCAACAAAAUACAAUCAGAGAUACGAACUAAGACAGACGGUCUUCCGGAAUGAGGGUCUUCAGGUAAUGGCACUGGUCGAUCAACUGUGAGCAUUCUGAACAAUCUGGUAAAGGAGUGAUCUUCUCUUUC